UUUUAAUCAUUGUUGGGGGGGAGAUUUUUUUUUUUAGUUUGAGUUUUCCUCGGCAAAUAGUCGUUUUACGCUUAAAAUAUUAUACUUAGCUUUCGAAUUCGAAGUUCCGAGAAGAUAGUCACUCAAAUUUUCUUAAGUUUGUCGUUCGUAUUCGAAGAAAUCACUGCUUUCAAGCUCGCUUUGUUCUCAGUUUGCUGUCUCAAGAAAGGUAACCUCAUUUACCUUAACUCGUUUUAGCUGGUGUUUUAUUUCUAAUUAAAAGUUUACUGUUGAACUCUUGAGGUAAAUUUAUACUUUGGGCGUGGUUGAUCAAUAUUAUGUGUCCUCUUGCUUGAGCAUUCUGUUGAAAAAAUGGUAUUGAUUGAGUGCAUUAUAAUUAUUGUUCAUAUUGUUGACGAUUUGAGUUAUGUAAAACCAGUUAUUCAAUGGAAAAUAUUUUGACGUAAAGGGGGGGCUCACUUUUGUUUGUUUUAUUAGUCUAUGUUCAUACCCAAAUCUUCUUUGAGGGUUUUGGUGUUACUUUACCAAUUGAAGGCAUUCGAAUCUUACAGUGAUGUCUUUUCCAUGUAGGAUAUUUUUCUCUAAUCUCGUAUCUUAUUUUCUCACUCUGGAAUGAUAUUACUAUAAGCCAGAAUGCUUUAGAAUGAUAGCUUCUCUUUUGUUCAAAAUUACAAAGCUAUGUUCUCUGCAAAGUUUCAUUUCUUAAAUCUAGUUUUUUUUUUAUUGAGCAUGUUGCAAUAAGUUUCUCUGUACUGCAUUUCCAGCAUCUAUUUUUGUCUAUUCGGUUUAUUCUCUCCUUCUAUUAGUUGUAUAGUUCUUUACUUUCUUUAAAAAUGUCCUUGCGGGCUACUAUGGUUAAUUCUUGCUGUGAUGUGAAGUUAGACCGGCGAUAUUAAGUUGUAAAGGAUAAUAUUUUUCUCUUGAUUCAUGCUCAGUCAAAGUCUCUUUGUUUAGUUCGGGUGAUUCUCUAUGUAGCAAUUUGUGAUAUUUAGUUUGGUACCAACACUUCAUAAAUUUAUCAUUUCAUGUUUUACUUUAGAUUUUCCUGUCUAUUAUGGUGUAAGAAAUGUUCUAUUUAUAUAGAUACUUACUAAUAUAUUUGUUACUCAAUAGUUGCCGUAACUCAUAUAUAACAAUAAUAUUUCUUCAGUUUUUGCGUAUUUGUUUUAUAAUUGAUAGAUAGUAUUCUGCUUGCUCCAUUCCUU
This 1205-nucleotide long non-coding RNA is filed under the name Solanum tuberosum (potato). Its description in RNAcentral is "long non-coding RNA (STUB_LNC007710)". Lineage: Eukaryota; Viridiplantae; Streptophyta; Magnoliopsida; Solanales; Solanaceae. The record is from RNAcentral.